RNAcentral lists this ribosomal RNA (1373 nucleotides) under Escherichia coli. RNAcentral describes it as "partial 23S ribosomal RNA". It matches the Rfam family "Bacterial large subunit ribosomal RNA", at positions 1590 to 2925 of the family's 2925-position model. Lineage: Bacteria; Pseudomonadati; Pseudomonadota; Gammaproteobacteria; Enterobacterales; Enterobacteriaceae. The record is from RNAcentral.
GCGACAAAUGCCCUGCUUCCAGGAAAAGCCUCUAAGCAUCAGGUAACAUCAAAUCGUACCCCAAACCGACACAGGUGGUCAGGUAGAGAAUACCAAGGCGCUUGAGAGAACUCGGGUGAAGGAACUAGGCAAAAUGGUGCCGUAACUUCGGGAGAAGGCACGCUGAUAUGUAGGUGAAGCGACUUGCUCGUGGAGCUGAAAUCAGUCGAAGAUACCAGCUGGCUGCAACUGUUUAUUAAAAACACAGCACUGUGCAAACACGAAAGUGGACGUAUACGGUGUGACGCCUGCCCGGUGCCGGAAGGUUAAUUGAUGGGGUUAGCGGUAACGCGAAGCUCUUGAUCGAAGCCCCGGUAAACGGCGGCCGUAACUAUAACGGUCCUAAGGUAGCGAAAUUCCUUGUCGGGUAAGUUCCGACCUGCACGAAUGGCGUAAUGAUGGCCAGGCUGUCUCCACCCGAGACUCAGUGAAAUUGAACUCGCUGUGAAGAUGCAGUGUACCCGCGGCAAGACGGAAAGACCCCGUGAACCUUUACUAUAGCUUGACACUGAACAUUGAGCCUUGAUGUGUAGGAUAGGUGGGAGGCUUUGAAGUGUGGACGCCAGUCUGCAUGGAGCCGACCUUGAAAUACCACCCUUUAAUGUUUGAUGUUCUAACGUGGGCCCCUUACCGGGGUUGCGGACAGUGUCUGGUGGGUAGUUUGACUGGGGCGGUCUCCUCCUAAAGAGUAACGGAGGAGCACGAAGGUUGGCUAAUCCUGGUCGGACAUCAGGAGGUUAGUGCAAUGGCAUAAGCCAGCUUGACUGCGAGCGUGACGGCGCGAGCAGGUGCGAAAGCAGGUCAUAGUGAUCCGGUGGUUCUGAAUGGAAGGGCCAUCGCUCAACGGAUAAAAGGUACUCCGGGGAUAACAGGCUGAUACCGCCCAAGAGUUCAUAUCGACGGCGGUGUUUGGCACCUCGAUGUCGGCUCAUCACAUCCUGGGGCUGAAGUAGGUCCCAAGGGUAUGGCUGUUCGCCAUUUAAAGUGGUACGCGAGCUGGGUUUAGAACGUCGUGAGACAGUUCGGUCCCUAUCUGCCGUGGGCGCUGGAGAACUGAGGGGGGCUGCUCCUAGUACGAGAGGACCGGAGUGGACGCAUCACUGGUGUUCGGGUUGUCAUGCCAAUGGCACUGCCCGGUAGCUAAAUGCGGAAGAGAUAAGUGCUGAAAGCAUCUAAGCACGAAACUUGCCCCGAGAUGAGUUCUCCCUGACUCCUUGAGAGUCCUGAAGGAACGUUGAAGACGACGACGUUGAUAGGCCGGGUGUGUAAGCGCAGCGAUGCGUUGAGCUAACCGGUACUAAUGAACCGUGAGGCUUAACCUUACAACGCCGAAG